Long non-coding RNA from Drosophila biarmipes, 321 nucleotides. RefSeq lists it as uncharacterized. Lineage: Eukaryota; Metazoa; Arthropoda; Insecta; Diptera; Drosophilidae. The record is from RefSeq and is a predicted model, not a curated record. The transcript is spliced from 3 exons.
AAGCCAUUAGUUUCACGGGAAAAAUAAGUACUCUGGAAGCAAGCUCAAAGGACUCAAGUUUGCAUUGGUUAAUGGACUUAAAAUAGUUUCCACUUACCUGCAGCUCAACAGGUCGAGUUUAUCACAUUCUACUACAAUUUCCUGGCCCCAUUCCCAAUACGCAUUUGAAGCCUGCAGCUGCAACACGAAAUCAACACAAUUAACAAACUUUACAAAUAAACAGCAACAGAGGCAUUUGAUGCAAGCCAACCUGUACAGUGAAAGAAAUGGAAGUAUAUGCUGCAAGAAAAUAAAACAAUAUUUUUAAUCUUAAUAAAAAUA